Molecule: long non-coding RNA, 324 nt
Filed under: Gossypium barbadense (sea-island cotton)
Lineage: Eukaryota; Viridiplantae; Streptophyta; Magnoliopsida; Malvales; Malvaceae
Description: long non-coding RNA (GBAR_LNC022854)
Source: RNAcentral
GGGGGCAUAGUGUAGUCGGAUCUCCGUUGUUGAGUUAACCUUUGUCAAAUGGAACUCAAACUUCAUGUACAACCACAUAAACUGUUUAAGGCACGAAUAGAAAUUGAAAACAAAUUUGGAAAAUUUCGUUACCUUAUUCUCCAAAAUAGAUUUGGACAAAUUCGAGGAUUUUACACAAUGUAAAUCAAGAGAAUAACAAAUCACGCUUCUUUUCGUAAUGACUUUAUCAACCACAAUCGAAGAGUAACAAUUAAUCGGAUCAAAAUGAGGGGAUCUUUUAAGAACUAAGUCACCAAAAGUUUUAUCAAUAAUUUUCAAAUCUGC